This 253-nucleotide ribosomal RNA is filed under the name uncultured bacterium. RNAcentral's name for it is "partial 16S ribosomal RNA". It matches the Rfam family "Bacterial small subunit ribosomal RNA", at positions 524 to 776 of the family's 1533-position model. The record is from RNAcentral.
GACGAACCGUCCAAACGUUAUUCGGAAUCACUGGGCUUAAAGGGCGCGUAGGCGGGCUUCCAAGUCAGGGGUGAAAUCUUUCGGCUCAACCGGAAAAGAGUCCCUGAUACUGGAAGCCUCGAGGGAGGUAGGGGUCGAUGGAACUGGUGGUGGAGCGGUGAAAUGCGUAGAUAUCACUAGGAACGCCGGUGGCGAAAGCGAUCGACUGGACCUCUUCUGACGCUGAGGCGCGAAAGCCAGGGGAGCAAACGGG